GCCUGGGUGGCUCAGUCGGUUAAGCGUCUGACAUCAGCCCAGGUCAUGAUCUCAGAGUUCGUGGGUUCAAGCCCCGCAUCAGGCU
Molecule: transfer RNA, 85 nt
Filed under: Felis catus (domestic cat)
Lineage: Eukaryota; Metazoa; Chordata; Mammalia; Carnivora; Felidae
Rfam family: tRNA
About the family: Transfer RNA (tRNA) molecules are approximately 80 nucleotides in length. Their secondary structure includes four short double-helical elements and three loops (D, anti-codon, and T loops).
Source: Rfam by way of RNAcentral